GGCUGGGGGAGUGGGGAGGUCCCCACCCACUGCUUCUCUUCAAGUCAUGAACAGCAACUAUUAGGCAAAGGAGCAUGUCACAGAGUCAGGAGGUCCCUCUCCCACCCCACAAAGGAGGGCCGGGCCCAGGACUCCGGGCUACUGGAACCUCCCUUGCUCUGGGCUGAUGUGUCUGUAAAGAUAGAGACCUUGGUGCAUUUCCAGGAUCCCUCCCCAGGAAGAGGAUCUCAAUAAACAUUUAUGGAGCAUUUUAACACACUCCAUAACACCUUCUAAAUAAGCAAGCUUGGAGUUCAGGGGAUGAUUCAAUGGAAAGUAACCAGACCGUUAAUGGGCAACAAGUGCAAGUCAACUAGAAGUUGGGCACAUGGUUCUGUUCAACAUCUCCCUGUUUGCGUGCUGUGUGACUACAGGAUGACUCUCCGAGCCCUUCCUCCUCCACGCUGUGUGUGUCAGCUCUGACACCAUCUCCUUCCAGAAGCCAGCCCUCAGCCCUCUACAUACUUCCACGACUGGGUCACAGAUAUCCCUCUAGUUGCCUCAGGCCCUGAGUUCUCCAUUCUAGGCCUGUCAUCCUGAGUCACUCUUUUCUCCACCAGAGAACUGUGUCAACUCUUGACUUGUGUCAGCCUAGGGCAGGCAUCUAAGGGAAGAGCUAUUGAGAAAAAUAGCCCAGAGGCCAUAGCUCAGUGGGAAGAGUGCUUGCCUACCAUGCAGGAAGCUCUGGGUUCUCUCCCCAGUGCUGCAUAAACCAGGCAUGAUAGAACAUUCUUGGAAUCCCAACACUAGGAAGGUGGAGGCAGGAGGAUUACAAAUUCAAGGUCAUCCUCACCUCCACAGUGAGUUCGAA
Long non-coding RNA from Mastomys coucha (southern multimammate mouse), 850 nucleotides. RefSeq lists it as uncharacterized. NCBI's taxonomy places the organism in Eukaryota, Metazoa, Chordata, Mammalia, Rodentia, Muridae. The record is from RefSeq and is a predicted model, not a curated record. The transcript has 5 exons.